AGCGUUUACUCCAUCAGUUCUCUGUGUCUGUGUGAGACUCUGUGUGUGUGUGUGUGUGUCUGUCUCUGUCUCUCUCUCUCUCUCUCUCCUUCCCCUCCCCCCGCCCAAUUUAUUUUUUUUGAAAUGCAGAACCGAGGGACCUGUUGGAACCGGAGUUGAGCCGCAGGGGCCAAAGAAAGACACCACUGGCCGCUGAGGGAGGAUGGCAUUUGAUUUCUAGAAAAUGGGAAAAGAAAGGAAUAGUUCGGGGUAGAGUGCUUGGGAAGGAAUGAAGCGAUUGCGUCCUGGUACUUGGCAUGUGUCUGCCAGUGUUUGGAGACCCACGACCAUCGCGUAAGGGCCGUCGUACUCAUGUGGCUGAAGGAAUGCUUGCCCUUCCGGAGCUUGGGGGAGGGGGGGAGCCGUGGAGAACCCAGGGAGAGAGCGAGACAUUUCAGGCUAUGGGCAAAGUCGGGGAAUCCAUGCCCAGGCUCCGUCCUCCUGCGUCUGAAGGAAGGUGCGUUCGUUUCCUGUUGCCCCAGGCUCGGAUGCUCAGUCCCGUGUUGGAAAACUGUCUGCAUUAGGUUUCUGUGCCUCACUGCUGCCUGGAAAAAGGAGGAAAAGUGGCCACAGAGAGCUUUAACGCGAAUGCACCUGUGCACAGGCGCGAAGGCCGAGGCCGGGGUCAUGAGAGGCAGAGGCAGAGGGGUACAGGGGCAGAGGGGCAGAGGCAGGGGGGAGAGGCACAGGCACAGGCAGAGGGAAGGGGCGCGCCUGGAUUAUCAGCACAGUCUCGUGCAUCACUGUUUUCCAGAGGACGAGAACUGUAGCACGAAUUGCCUGGGUCGACAUGUGAGGGGAAGAAGGACACAGUGUCAGGGUGAGGAAGAUCUGUGUUGGAGACGGGUGAGAUGAUUUCUCGGCUACUUUCGACUUUGAGUUUUCACGCACACAGACUCAGGAUUCAAGUGUUUCCUAAGAGCUCUUCCCCUCACUCCCCUCCUUCCUUCACCCCACCCAAUCCCAUCCCAUCCCUAUCCCACUCCAACACUUUCGUUUUUAUUUACUCCCCCAGCAAAGAAAAAUUUUCCUCCUCUCGUUAGUGGGAGGGAAGGAGAGAGAGAGAGAGAGAGAGAGAGAGAGAGAGAGAGAGAGAGAGAGAGAGAGAGAGAGAGAGAGAGAGCACACAGUGGGCGCUAUGGGGAAUGACAUUGGGUGUCCUGUCAUCCAGCUACCAAGAGGAAAAAAAAAAAAUAAAGUGCGUGUGUAUGAAGGAGAAGCCUUCA
RNAcentral lists this long non-coding RNA (1265 nucleotides) under Phascolarctos cinereus (koala). Its description in RNAcentral is "lncRNA (ENSPCIG00000032817.1)". The record is from RNAcentral. Lineage: Eukaryota; Metazoa; Chordata; Mammalia; Diprotodontia; Phascolarctidae.